GGCUCGGCGGCGGAGGGUGGGCCGCCGUCACCUGACCGCCCGCCCCCGCCCCCCGCGAGUAAGGGGCGGUGGUAGCGUCUGCUCGGUUACAAAUGGCCCCUCCCGCCCGGCUCGCCCGCUCGCUCGGGCUCGGCGCGGACCCGCCUGGGCGUGCUCGACCCGCCUGGGCGUGCUCCUCCCGCCGGCUCCAGGCGUCCCACCGCCCUGACUCCUGAGGGCGCGCCGGGCACCCAGCGCGGAGGCUCGCCCGCGGAGGUCGCCAAGGAAGUCUGGACCGCCUAGGCGUGUGGCUCGUCUACAGGCAGGUGUUCUUUCGAUCACAAUGGAUAGUGACUCUUCUCUUCUGCCUGAGUGGUUCAAAAUAAUGAAGGAUGAGAUUGGACUUCUCAGUUUGUGUCCAGAACAAGGAUGGAGAGGCUCAGCAGCACCGACAGGACCUCCUCAUGAAAUGGAAGUACAUCCAGGCUGAAGGCCCCUGUGUUCCAGGUGCUGUGUCGGUGCUGACUUGCCCAGUGACUCCAUGAUGGCUUCUGUCCUCGAGGUCACCAUUGACUGAGACAGACUGAGAGACACUCAGGAUCCUGGACCAGCUGAAGCCAGGGGAGGAAGCAGCCCGGCAGAUCACCUGCUGAUGGAAAGGAAGGCACCAUGGUAGUUAAGUGUUUCCAUGUUGGCUACCUGGUUUCUUUUCAGCCAGUCUCAGCUUUGGCUGGUUUGUAUGACUGCCUCAAAUCUUCGGAGGUCACCCUUACGUUUUAUCUGGAAUGUGUUCCCGGCUCUAGAGGACUGAGUCAGGGAGAUUGCUCUGCAUUCUUAAGGGGUUCCAUUUUGACCCUGCUCAUCCUCAGUAGACAUGGGAGCUAUUCCAAGCAUGGACUUGCAGGUUUGGGGACUCUGGACAGCAUACAAAUCAAGAGGUGAGGGACAGCCGAGGCAAAGUUCCUAACCAGAAUUUGCAGUAAGAACCAUCUCUGGUUUCUAUAUUUGACAACACAAUAAUGGGAUUCCCUGCAUUUCUCCCAGAAAAGCAUCAGUGGGGAAAAAACUUUGUUCUGGGAGGUGAAGUCAUCAUCAAAUACUAUGAAGGCCCAUCAGUGGACAUACUCAAGCUGUGGAGGACUCUGAGCAUUUGUUGAAGACAGAUCUACCAACACACAGUUCUCACUUCUGGCUGUUCUCUGUCCUCUCCACCUCAUCCAGCAGCACAGAGGCAUCUCUGUGCCCAUCGGCCCACCCAGAGACCUCCCCAGCAUGGUAUGGUGGGGCAGCUGGUGUUGUGAAUCAGGCCGUUGCCAAUCAGAGAACGGCUACUUCACAACACCAGGGCCGCACCACACUACAGGCAGCAUUCCGGCUCCAGAACCAGCAAGGGCACCCACUGGUGAGGCAGCCACACCCCCGCCACAGAGGACCAUCGGCUCCAGAACCCAGGCAUGUGGCUUUCCGGGUCUGGGCUGGCUGCUGCAUCGCCCCUGCAGACACUGGCUUCCUGAGGCUGCUAUUUAGCCCCCAACACAAACGCUCCACUUUUAAAGAAAAGGCCACUCCUGGUAACAUUAGCUUCCUACAGAGAAAAUGGAGCUACCAGGCUUCCCACUGUGAAAAUGAAGUUAUGGGCCAUCAUGAGGGUUCAGCGCCACUCAAUUGAACAUUUCCUCCUAGGUGCUGAAACACACAGUGGUUGCAGAGCUGGGACCUUUGUUUUGAUACUCGGUGAUGGUAGCUUUGAAUAGGCAAAAUAGAGGGAAGGGAGGACCUCGUAAUAGGAUAGGACGGUGGCCUUAGGAGCACUCCUGGAGAGAGGAAGGCUCUUUGUAGCCACAUAUACAGGUAAUGCAUCUAUUUCCUAGAUGGUCCCAGGGUCUCUGGAGAGCAAACACCUUUCUCAGCCAGGGAGAAUUCCACAGCUGUCCAUAAGUGCAUGUCCCAGUGACCUGAGGGCUGGACAAGAACCAAGCAUGGGACUGCUCCUAGGGCACUGAUCUGCCAGACACUCCAUCGGGGUAAUACUUUCCAUUACUUGUGCUGACAGAUGGGCUUCCUUUCUCCAGGUCCUUACAGCAUGGACCCAGCAGAGCUGGAAAACUAAUGAGGUCGCUGAGUUGGCGUAGCAUUUUGUGCCUAACUUAAAUCUUAUGUGUGACAUCACCAUUUUUCAGAGCCCAGGCCAGAGUUUUCAAGAUGGAGUGGCUAGGUUGGCUAGUGUCGUUUUCAAAACACUAAUAAAAAGCAGAAUGUUCCUCUCUCUCGCUUUCUACAGGACAGAGAUCCAGAGCCACUCUGAUUAACUUGGGCCCAGUCUGGGUAACCUCAGUGUUUGUAUAAGGUUCUUCCUGCUCUGAAAACCAAAAACAAGCAUCACACAAACCUUGCUUAGCACUCAGGUUACAUAGAGCCUGAGUUAACCAGAGCCACCUGCAUCUGUAUCACCUUAGAAUUCUGAAAGGCAAGGCUGCUUCUGUAAAGUUCUAUCCCUCACCCCAUCCCCAUAUCAUUAAGGGUAUCUCUGAAAUUUGUACUAAAUUAUGAUUGGGGACAAAUAUCUUCAAAACAAAAUAUGUUUUUAGAAAGGGCUCCUUGCUGUAUCCUGAGAAUUCAUCCAGUUACCAACUCCCCUACCACAAACAGACUCUAAGCUAGAGCCACUCACGGUAUGGUCCAUGGGCGGCAGCUUCAUCAUGCUGGAAAAGCAGGAUCCUAGGGACCACCAUGCACCUGCUGCAUCAGAAUUUCUGGAGGCCAACCCAGGCAACAUAGCAAGACCUCAUCUCUACAAAAAAAAAGUUUUUAAAAAUUAGCUGCAUGUGGCAGUACACUCCUGUAGUCCCAUCAGCUCCUCAGGUAACUGACGUGGAAGGACCUUUUGAGCCCAGGAGUUUGAGGCUGCAGUGAGCACAGAUUGUACCACUACACUCCAGCCUGGGUGACAGAGCAAGACCCUGUCUCAAAAAAAAAAAAAAAAAAAAAAAAAAAAUUUCCAGUGGGGAUAGCAAGCUGGUAGGAACUGUGUGUCACAGGCACUCCAGGAGAUGCUUCAGAACCGCUUCUACCCCUUUUGGGUCUCCCUACAAUCUCUCCGGCUUCCAUUCCAACCUUCUCUCUUCUACACAUUAUAACCAGAAUGUUCUUUUCAAAAUGUACUUCUAAAUCAUGUGAAUGCCUCCCACUCCUGGCCUUAGAACUGCUUAAAGAAUUGUCAUCAUACUAACUUCAGUGGGACCCAUGAAUGACAUGCACUCCCCUCCCCACUCCUGACGUACCCCUCUUCUCCCUUUCCAUAAGAUCCCUCUGGCCUCUGCCUCAGGGCCGUCAUUCAGCUCAGUCCUAUCUAGAAGGGUCCCAGCUGCCUCCAAACUCCAUCACUGAUACCUGACUGUCCUCCAGGUUUCAGACAGAGCUAACUCCCACUACCCAGAAGGCCAGAUCAGGUAACAGCUCUUCCAUGCGCUCAGCAAACUGAAUUCCAUCCCUUCAGAGAAUCAUCUCAUUUUGUCAUUACUCAUUGACUAGUGGGAAUCUUUGCUGAAUCUGUGUCUUUCUCACUGGCCAUAAGCUCCUUAAGGGCAGGGACAUCCAGCUUCAUUCACUGCUGUGCCCUCCAGCCUAGUUCAGUGUCUGACACUGAGUAGACACUGAAUAAAUCUGUUCAAUGAAUGGAUGAGCACAGCCCAAGCCCAGUGUCCUUCAAGGUCAGACACUCUGGCUCUUUGUUGAAGCCCUAGGUCUUUGAUCCUUUCAGUGGCAUCAUCGUUAAUAGCAGCAGGCACUUACAGAGUAGAAACUGCCAGGCACUGCCCUGAGCCCUCCAUGUGCAUUUAGCGAUGUACUUGGUGCCUCCAUUUCCUCCGCAUAGGCAGGCAGGUCAUGUAACCACCCUAUCAGGUAAGUACCAAGACCAUACCAUCCAUAUUGUUGGUGAUUUGUGUCACUGCUGUUUAAACCCAGGCACUCUGGCCCCAGAGUCCAUGUACUGAGCCACUGCUCCCUGCUGCUGAAGAGCCAGUGUGAAGGGGACAAAGCUGAUGAUGGAAGUCCAGGGCUGCUCCCAGGGACAGAGCAAAGCCUUCUCCAUUCUCAGAGGCUUCCACUUCUGUUUCUUAAACCAGGUAGACCAGGCAGUAUUCUCCACCUUGUGCAUUUGUAGAUUCUAACCUUGUUUAAAGCCCUUCAUAAUGGAACCUGAUUUUAAAAACCUAACAAAAUAUAAAAUGGGGUCAAGUCCAGAGAGAGAAUGAGAGAACCAUUUAAGAUUCAGAGGAUGCUCUACUUAAUUAAUUUUGGUAUUGAGCAGGCGAAUUCAUUCGAAGUUUGCACAGUGACCUUCAGAGGUGAGGCUGCAAAGGCAAACUGUGUCCCCUCCACCUGCCUCACCCCAACCCUGCCCAGAACUGUUUACUCAAGCCUAGCCUAGGGGGGAACAACCUUAGAGUGCCUCUUCUGCAUGCUUAGAUCCAGCCAGAGACUCACCCAGGGCAACAGACCUCUAUCCACAUUGUGGCUUCUUCUCCAAAGUGCAGUCACCUCACUGAGAACAGCCUCUCCCCUCCUUAGCAUUCCAGACCUUCCACUCAGGCUGACUUCUUAAUGCCACCUGGCCAGAAAGAAACAGAGUGUCCAUUCCCCCUUUUCUAAAACCUUGAUUUUGUGAUCAUUUGAAGCUCUGAGUUUAGAAUCUCUGUAUUAUAAUUUCCUUGGGAUCCUACCUUUGCAGCUAGCCACCUUCCAACUUAAAAGACUCUCUCAGGAGGCUCGUUGUAGAUAACAAAAACCCCAGUGAUGUAGGGAGCUUGCCAGACACAUACUUUUAUACCCGCCACCUUGUCUUAAGCUGGCUACCAUCUGCUGACCCCAGUCAGCUCUUCUGGGAAAAGCUGGGUUUGGAAAUGGAGUUCCCCGAGUAUAUUUAAUAUCACAUAGAGCAAUGGUUCUCAAAGUGUGCUCUCGGAGCAGCAGCGGCACCAGCAUCUCCUGGGAACUCCUUAGACAUGCACAUCCUCCAGCCCCACCUACCCUUACUGAGUCAGCAGCUCUGGGGUGAGGCCAGUGCACUCAACUUUGAGAACUACCAAAAUAGCAUAAAAGAUGGGGGAGAACACCCCUCAAGUAUCAAAGGUUAGAAGGCCACAAUAGUGGAGCAUCUGUGCCUGCCAUUUGCAGAAGUGUGGAAAGUUUAGAGUGUUUACUGUAUGUUGAAUAAUGAUUCUCUCAAAACUUUUGUGAAUUGUAAAUCUCUAGAGAUGCUGAGCAGUGAUACCCUGGCUCUUCCCAUUUUCACCUGCAUAUACAUGGCCAGAGUAUCUGCUUAUCCUUCACAACAGGGAGUUGGAAGGUAAAAGUUAUCUUCUGUCAAUAUAAAGUCUUAGAUUUUUUUCAUUUAUUAAAUUCUUAACACAGUAUAUGGCACAGUUACAUUUUAAAGGCCUUUCAUUUCUUUAAUCUGAGCCCAAACCAACCCCAUUUUAAGGAGAGGAAUGAGAGGCAGAGAGAUUGAGGAGCCAGCCUGUACUCCAGGGACGAGAGGCGUUACUUGCUGGAGCAGAGAUUAGAGCUCAGCAGUGCUCCCAGACCCACGCUUGCUUGCCCUUACUUUUGAUUUUCUACCUCCCUAAUGAACAAGUGGGGACCAUAAAUGUCAGCUGUGCCCAGUUUAGAGCACCUGUGUCUGAGCAAUAAAAAGCCAUUUGAUUGGCAGCCAACUUGGAGAAACCCUGACCCUAAAAGGUAAUGCCAUAAAGACCACACUGGGCAAUCAUGUAAUUUCAACUUGACAAAAUUUGUUGUACUUUUAUCUCUAGGUGGACUUCUUUUUUUUUGCUAGUGGUAGGGGCAGAUCUCCUUGUUUUUCUGGUAAUUCUUGCUAUACAUUUAUCUUAGACCUCAUAGGUGGUCUUUUACAUAUCCCUCCUCGUGAAAGCCAUAGCCAAAGACCGUUUCAACCCCAAGCAUCUCUCUCUUGGUAGGUACUGGCUUCAGGCAAGUGGCUUCUCUCUUUAAGAAAAUAUGGUAAUUUGAGUGUUUGUCAUUGCUAAGAGGCAAGCAUUCCUACAAACUCCAUCUCACCAACUGCAGUGAGACUGUCAGGAAAACUGCACAUCACUGCUGAAAUUUCAGGAAAAGUUUACAGGUCUCAAGGACAGAGCUGAAGUCAGAAAAUUUCACCUUCAUGUUAAUUUUUGAUAGAUUUUGUUAAAGGGAGGGGCAAAAAAAAUUGUUUCACCAUUCCCUUUGUUUUCUUUAAAAAAAACUCAGAAGAAACCUCACACACCAACCAUGUGAGAGUUCAAAAUCACUAUUUUAAAAGGCAUAGCAGGAAAGAAUUUUGAUAGAAAAGUAGAGCAAAAUAAAUAAGCAGUAAAACCUCAUCCCCAACCUUCUCCAGCUGCCUGACAUCCUAGUUUAGCUCUGGAGGGUUGGACCACUGCUCUCUAGUUCCAGGGGUUGGCACAGCAGCCAAAAAUGAGACCAGAGGCUGAGCCCCAACAGAAGAUGAAACUUGGGAGCAGCCUCAGCUCCAGGAAGCCUCACUUCCUGGCACAGCAGGUUUGGGUGCCGUAGAGCCCAGGGCUAGGUGCCUGCCAGCAGUCCAUCAGUCGUGGUCUCAGAUGAGUGGCACCAAGGUGGAGCCCACUGAGGCAAAGGAAGGAUCUGUGAGGGACACCUGCAGCCUGCUACAGAAAUGUCUGCGCCCCACACCUUGUCCUGCUGCAGCUCCAUCUCACAGUUGGAGAAGUGGAAGCAAAGCAAAGUAGCCUGCCCUAGAGCACACAGCCUUGCCCUCUGUUUCCAGAGCCAGAGGUCUUUGUGCUCUGGAACAAAGACAGUGACCCCCACUGACCCACUGGCACGUACUGUGUGCCAGGGACUUGGCCUGUAUUGUCUCGUUUCGGCACAGAGGUGCCCUGGGACUGGAAGCAGUGUCAUCAUUCCCAUUUUUCAGGUGAGGUACAGGCUCAGAAAGGUCACAAAACUUGCUCACGGUCUCACAGCUGGUGAGUAGGUCAUCAGACUCCAAAGAUGUGUGCAGCUAACUAUGCCCAAAGGGACUUCCUCCUCCCUCCUUCCUGGGCAGCUCACCAGAACACCCGCCAACAGGCAACAUAAGUGUGAUUGCCUUCAAAGUUUUCUACCUGCCUUCAAGCUUGAAACACGAGCCUGAUGGAAGAGAGCACUGGAAGUGGAAGAAAGAAAGAGCUAUGCCUUCCUGCAGUGAACCUCCAAGGUCAUUUCCUCAGGCCUGACUCCGACUGGAAGACGCAGUGUGUGUAUGUGUGUGGGCAUACAUGUAUGUACGUGUGUGCCUGUGUAAUUGACUUUGUGACUAUGAAACUGAGUUAAUACUCUUCUGUCUGCCUGUUUCUUCUUGUACAUUGCCUAGAGGGAUAUCCAUUACUGUUUAAAGGCACAGAACAAUAGAAAAUGACACUGUUCAAGGACUAAAACUUUUAAAAGACUGCUGACAUACAGCACAGAAUGUGAAAGCCCCUGGUAAUCUUAUCCCUAGGGAUAAGCACUCGUCAUUUUUUAUAAUUUGAAUUUUUUUAUGAUUAUAAAAGUUGCACAUAUUUAAAGAUACUUCAAAAAUAAAUUUUUCAUUGCUCAGGUUACCUUGGUACAUGCAAAGUCUAAGGCCACAUCCAUCAAUGCAACUUGCUGCAUGGAUUACCAGAUCUCCCCACCAUUGACCUCUUGAAUUUUUUACUCUGAGAGCAAACAGAAUGGGCAAGGACUGACCUGAUAUCCUUUUGAAACACAAGCUGGAUCCUAAAGCUUUGACCUCCACUGCUCACUGCCACAUGGAAUCCAUCUCUGUGCCCCACUCCACCCCAGCCCCAGUUGGCCUUCCUGCUGCUGCUCACACGGGCUACACCUAAGCCCUUUGCACAUGCUGUUUACUGCAGAGGCCUCUCUUCCUCUGAACAAAUGUGGGACCCAUCUCUGCCAAGGCUGGGAAGCAAACAGCCCCUGCUUUACCUUGCCAGCCUGUGUCUACCAUUCCUGUGGUGGCCUCUCCCAGCUGCUUUCAUGUGGCAUUUGAGCUCUGGGAAGCUGGAAUUUUGUUGAGUCCAUUUCCCUCAUUUUGCAUCUAUGGAUGAUAAAGCCCACAGGCGAGGGUUUUGACAAAAGGAAAAACGCCUUCCAUUUGGCAUUGUGAUGCAGAGGCUGUCUCAGACAAGCCUGGGAAUUUGGGAUAUAUCUUGCUGAGCCUAGAGACAGAAAAGAGCUUCUAGGCUGCCUUCCCUGAGUCCCGGGCCAGGCCUCUCCAGGACACACUUGCAUGGCACCCUGUUCUUCAAAACACUGCACACUAAUGACUGUGCAAAGGAUUAACUGACUUUUCAAUAUUCUUGUUUUCUACAAAGUGAAAAGCUUCAGAAGGACAAGGUAUGAGUCUGUUUUGCUCUUUUGCCUCUCCCAGCACAUGGCACAAUGCCCAGCACGUAGUGUUUUGAGAGACAGCUGACUGGCUGUCUCAUACAGGGCCCUGCUCUGUUGGGCAUAAGGGCUGCUUAACACAUUCCUAUGCUACAAAAGAUGGGCAGUGCUCCUCUCCUCCAGGAGCCACCAAAUAAAUUCAGAUACUAAUGCCAGAAAGAGGGCAGUGCCAGCUUGGGAAGAGAGUGCCUUGAUAAGGCACCGUUUCUCUCCAUGGAGACAGUGUGGAAUGAUAGGGAUGAUCUAGGACCUAGAGGAGCGACCUUAAGUCUUGCAGCCAAAAGCCUUCAUACCUGAGCCAGCCAAAACUGUUAUGUCAGAAUUCUCACCCAUGACAAGAAGUCUGGAGGUAUGGAGUCCAGAGUUGAUGCAUUAAUUUAAGGGUGUCAUCAAAAGCUUACACUUGACCCUUCUGCUGCACCACCCUUAUUACCUUGUGGUCACAAGAGGGCUACUGCUGUUCAAGUCAUCACUUCCACAUUCCAGAAGGAAGAAAGGAAAGUUAGAAGGGACAAAAGUAUCCCCUCCUUUUGUUAGGAGGCAUUAGCUUUCCCAGAAAUUUCCAUGUCCACCCAGCAGACUCCCAUUUAUAUCUCGGUAGGUGGAACUCCUAUCACCUGGCCAUGCCAGCAGUCAGGGAAGCUGGAAAGGUGAGCAUUCAGCUAUAGGGAGUGGAAACACACGCAGCAGGGGAAGACAGGUCAGUAACCGCUGUAGAGUUCCCUGGCCAGCAGCAUCUGCCAAAACUAAAUUAUUCAAAAUAACAUUGUUUUUCUGAAUUUUCUUAUUACAAAAGCAAUGCAUAUAGUUACUUUAGAAAAUAAAGAUUUUAAAUCUUCAACAAGCCCAUUACUCAGAAGUGACCAUUGUUCUUCCUGGUUUAUUAGCCAUCUAGAUCUUUGUAUUUUUUUUUAACAUGGAUGGAACCACAAUAUGGGUUGCUCUGAAAUUAGCCUUUGCACGUGGCAUUGUGAAAAAUCUUUCCAAGUCAUUAAAUGUUCUCUGCGGAAUUAC
Long non-coding RNA from Sapajus apella (tufted capuchin), 9447 nucleotides. RefSeq lists it as uncharacterized. The transcript is spliced from 6 exons. The record is from RefSeq and is a predicted model, not a curated record. NCBI's taxonomy places the organism in Eukaryota, Metazoa, Chordata, Mammalia, Primates, Cebidae.